Molecule: long non-coding RNA, 432 nt
Organism: Ictalurus punctatus (channel catfish)
Lineage: Eukaryota; Metazoa; Chordata; Actinopteri; Siluriformes; Ictaluridae
Source: Ensembl
GAGAGACGAGAGGCAAACACUGUACCGGCGUGAAAGACAAAAUGGUGGAUUAGGGCUUGAUAAGUCUUGAACGUUUUGACUUUUGUCGAAACAAGAUAUGAGACGAGGCAAAGAGGUUCAAGAGGAUAGGCUCCAGGUUCCCUGCGACCCAGUAAGGAUAAGCUGUACAGAAAAUGUAUGGAUGGACGGAUAAACCACACUACUUACGGGGACAGCACAGGGAUCCUGGAGCAGAGACGAGCGUGCUGCCCUGAGGACAGUAACACAAACGCAUGGAUGGGGUGACAGCGUGCCACAUCGUACUCCGGCUGCAGUGUGCCACCCGAUGCUCCCCAAAGCAGAUGGAGACACUCUUUAGGGAGCGAGGGACGCAGAGACAGGAGUGCGCACUUACAAAUGAGCAGAGUUUUAUGGUUUUAUUGCUCCUGAUGU